GUCUCCGUGGCGCAACGGAUAGUGCGUCGGACUUCUAAUUCGGAGGCUGUGGGUUCGAAUCCCACCGGAGAUG
RNAcentral lists this transfer RNA (73 nucleotides) under Saccoglossus kowalevskii. RNAcentral's name for it is "tRNA-Arg". It matches the Rfam family "tRNA". Rfam says of the family: Transfer RNA (tRNA) molecules are approximately 80 nucleotides in length. The record is from RNAcentral. Lineage: Eukaryota; Metazoa; Hemichordata; Enteropneusta; Harrimaniidae.